This 253-nucleotide ribosomal RNA is filed under the name uncultured bacterium. RNAcentral describes it as "partial 16S ribosomal RNA". It matches the Rfam family "Bacterial small subunit ribosomal RNA", at positions 524 to 776 of the family's 1533-position model. The record is from RNAcentral.
UACAGAGGUCUCAAGCGUUGUUCGGAUUCAUUGGGCGUAAAGGGUGCGUAGGUGGUGGGGUUAGUCAGGUGUGAAAUCUCGGGGCUCAACCCCGAAACUGCACUUGAUACUGCCUUGCUAGAGUACUGGAGAGGAGAUUGGAAUUUACGGUGUAGCAGUGAAAUGCGUAGAUAUCGUAAGGAAGACCAGUGGCGAAGGCGAAUCUCUGGACAGUUACUGACACUGAGGCACGAAGGCCAGGGGAGCAAACGGG